AUUAGAAAUAAAGCGUAUGUAAAUACGAAACACAAAUUAGUCAGUUUUCCGUCGUCCAAAAUACAAUGUCAAUUAAAAA
RNAcentral lists this small RNA (79 nucleotides) under Arabidopsis thaliana (thale cress). RNAcentral describes it as "ATSL150120". The record is from RNAcentral. Lineage: Eukaryota; Viridiplantae; Streptophyta; Magnoliopsida; Brassicales; Brassicaceae.